GACGAACGCUGGCGGCGUGCUUAACACAUGCAAGUCGAACGGAAAGGCCCUGCUUUUGUGGGGUGCUCGAGUGGCGAACGGGUGAGUAACACGUGAGUAACCUGCCCUUGACUUUGGGAUAACUUCAGGAAACUGGGGCCAAUACCGGAUAGGAGCUCCUGCUGCAUGGUGGGGGUUGGAAAGUUUCGGCGGUUGGGGAUGGACUCGCGGCUUAUCAGCUUGUUGGUGGGGUAGUGGCUUACCAAGGCUUUGACGGGUAGCCGGCCUGAGAGGGUGACCGGCCACAUUGGGACUGAGAUACGGCCCAGACUCCUACGGGAGGCAGCAGUGGGGAAUAUUGCACAAUGGGCUGAAGCCUGAUGCAGCAACGCCGCGUGCGGGAUGACGGCCUUCGGGUUGUAGACCGCUUUCGCCUGUGACGAAGCGUGAGUGACGGUAAUGGGUAAAGAAGCACCGGCUAACUACGUG
This 468-nucleotide ribosomal RNA is filed under the name uncultured bacterium. RNAcentral's name for it is "partial 16S ribosomal RNA". It matches the Rfam family "Bacterial small subunit ribosomal RNA", at positions 28 to 507 of the family's 1533-position model. The record is from RNAcentral.